AAGCGCGGGCACACAGUCGCCUCUUCGGAGGAGGAAAGUCCGGGCUCCGCAGAGCAGGAUGCCUUCUAACGGAAGGACGGGGUAACCCGAUGGAAAGUGCCACAGAAAAUAUACCGCUUUCGUUCAUUUGAAAGUAAGGGUGAAAUGGUGAGGUAAGAGCUCACCGGGCUUUUGGCAACAAGGGUCGCAUGGUAAACCCCAUCCGGAGCAAGAUCAAAUAGAGGAAAAGAAACGGCUCGUUUCGCUAUGAUUCCUGGGUUGAUUGCUUGAGCUUCUUGGCAACAAGCGGCCUAGAUAGAUGACUGUGCCAGACAGAACCCGGCUUACCGCCUGCGCUUAUAA
RNAcentral lists this RNase P RNA (342 nucleotides) under Candidatus Margulisiibacteriota bacterium. Its description in RNAcentral is "RNase P RNA component class A". It matches the Rfam family "Bacterial RNase P class A". Rfam says of the family: Ribonuclease P (RNase P) is a ubiquitous endoribonuclease, found in archaea, bacteria and eukarya as well as chloroplasts and mitochondria. Its best characterised activity is the generation of mature 5'-ends of tRNAs by cleaving the 5'-leader elements of precursor-tRNAs. The record is from RNAcentral. Lineage: Bacteria; Bacillati; Candidatus Margulisiibacteriota.